RNAcentral lists this long non-coding RNA (570 nucleotides) under Dasypus novemcinctus (nine-banded armadillo). RNAcentral's name for it is "lncRNA (ENSDNOG00000051565.1)". The record is from RNAcentral. Lineage: Eukaryota; Metazoa; Chordata; Mammalia; Cingulata; Dasypodidae.
GCCCAGUCAGGAGCUGACCACCACGUGUUGGUGCAUUUAUUGGGGCUCGGUUGGGGGGACCUGUGCAGGAUCACACCACCAGCUGAAGGAGCGCGGCCCCAAGUCAGUGCUCCCCGUCCAGGGCGCAGAGCCGCAGGGGGCAGAAGCCCGACAGGGGGCUGCCUACGAAGGGGGGUGGGCGUGUCGAGGCCCCUCCUCCACCGAGUGCCCGUCGGAACCCGCUCAAGGGGCGGUGGUGAUCCCUGGUGUAGCACAACAGUACUUGGCAUACAGAAGUGGGAUCUGAAGGUGGAUGCUGGGAGGAUGCCUCUGAUGCCUCAGAGAUGAGCAAGGUACCUGCAGGAAUCUUUUCCAUUCUGGCCUUUCCAGGGUCCUUCGCUGGCUCACCUGGUUAACCCCUAUGGAUCUCUGAACUCCUGCCACAUCACAUUUGAGGUCAAAAUCCAUUUGGUGAGCUACAAUCUGAUCAGGACCUCUGUCCCAGCCUCUGUUUUCAACAUUAGGUAAGAGAAUUCUCUUCUUUUGCUGUUUCUGUUCCUUUACUGUUUCUCUAGACUUACUAUGGGAAAC